Molecule: ribosomal RNA, 446 nt
Filed under: uncultured bacterium
Lineage: Bacteria
Description: bacterial SSU rRNA
Rfam family: Bacterial small subunit ribosomal RNA
Source: RNAcentral
CCAGACUCCUACGGGAGGCAGCAGUGGGGGAUAUUGCACAAUGGGGGAAACCCUGAUGCAGCGACGCCGCGUGAGUGAAGAAGUAUUUCGGUAUGUAAAGCUCUAUCAGCAGGGAAGAAAAAAGACGGUACCUGACUAAGAAGCCCCGGCUAACUACGUGCCAGCAGCCGCGGUAAUACGUAGGGGGCAAGCGUUAUCCGGAUUUACUGGGUGUAAAGGGAGCGUAGACGGCAAUACAAGUCGGAAGUGAAAUACCCGGGCUCAACCUGGGAGCUGCUUUGGAAACUGUAUGGCUGGAGUGCUGGAGAGGUAAGCGGAAUUCCUAGUGUAGCGGUGAAAUGCGUAGAUAUUAGGAGGAACACCAGUGGCGAAGGCGGCUUGCUGGACAGUAACUGACGUUGAGGCUCGAAAGCGUGGGGAGCAAACAGGAUUAGAUACCCCUGUAA